AUCACUAUCAACACACACAUAUAUAUAUUAAUAUUUUUUCUUUUACUUUUAUUGAAGACUGAAUGGUUGAAGAAAAGAGUCAUACGACGUAACCAACUUAAAGCAAUUCAAGAGACCAUAGCCGAAUUUCUAAAUGACCAGGUCAUCGACCCAAACGAUGAGUUCUACAAUGAUCCGAACGAAAUAUGGAAGCCAAAUCAGGAGUGAAUUGUUAUACCAAGGAUAUGAAUUUAUAUGUAUAUGCAAACCUAUGUAUACAUACUAUAUGUAUACAUAAAAUAACGUGUGAUCAUAUGUACGUAUAAUCGUUUGUUAUUUAUAAAUAUGUUGUACAAUGUUCGAACAAUAACUUAAUUACUGGUGCGACAUAUCUAUUAGUAUUAGCAGCGUAUUUGAAUUCUAUUAUAAUAUCAAAACUAAUCAUCAAUUGAAAAAAAAGAAAAGAAAAACAAAAAAUAAAAAAGGGAUCUUUAUUCUCGCUUGCUACUACCAUCUGGGACUAAAUGUCCUGCCCCGUGAACAGACCUGGAGGGCCCUUGUAGUCUCGAUUGGUAUUAACAACCGGGACUAAAGGUCCACUGAAAGGUCCAAAUGGCUAGAGGGGGGGUGAAUAGCCUAUUUAAAAUUUCUACAAACUUCACUAAGCAAGUUGAAAGAGCAUCUAGGCCCCUAGUGAUUUCGGUGAUUAAUGACAAUGUUGAUUACUAUGACUAACGUGUGUUUUGCAGAGGCAAAGUCAUAGGUAAGGUCAUGGUAAUAGGUACUCGAUGGACAGGGACGUACAUGCCUACUUAAUAGUGGAAAUCGUUUUGGUUUUCAAAGGAUGGAUGGACAUCGUCAAGACUAGACUAGGUCUAAGUGCCAUAUGGUGAAGAAGGGCACUUAGAGUAGUUUAGGACUUUGUUUUCCUUUGAUCGUACUAUUAAGAGGGGCUUUGAUCUAGUAGCUUGACUUAGGCAAGGCUUUAGAUUUAGGUGUGGUGCACACUUGGUAAACCUAGCACUAGACAGAUCAGAGAUAGUCCUUAGGUCGAGAGGAACCAACUUCGUUUUGGAGCGAUCGUGUUUCGACGAAGGUAGGGUGCCUAAGGGGGCACCGGACGCUGCACCGGACGCUAUGUGAGUGCGUCCGGUGAGGUCCUUAGCCGUUGGAAUAGUGUGGUGCUUAGGGUUAAGCACCGGACGCUGGCACCGGACUCAUCGGAUAGCGUCCGGUCCCAUACCCAGGGAGAUUGUAAACC
This 1240-nucleotide long non-coding RNA is filed under the name Sorghum bicolor (sorghum). RNAcentral's name for it is "long non-coding RNA (SBIC_LNC007773)". Lineage: Eukaryota; Viridiplantae; Streptophyta; Magnoliopsida; Poales; Poaceae. The record is from RNAcentral.